CCAAUAGCGGCAGCUACACAUGCAGUCGAGCGGUAGCACAGAGAGCUUGCUCUCGGGUGACGAGCGGCGGACGGGUGAGUAAUGUCUGGGAAACUGCCUGAUGGAGGGGGAUAACUACUGGAAACGGUAGCUAAUACCGCAUAACGUCGCAAGACCAAAGAGGGGGACCUUCGGGCCUCUUGCCAUCAGAUGUGCCCAGAUGGGAUUAGCUAGUAGGUGGGGUAACGGCUCACCUAGGCGACGAUCCCUAGCUGGUCUGAGAGGAUGACCAGCCACACUGGAACUGAGACACGGUCCAGACUCCUACGGGAGGCAGCAGUGGGGAAUAUUGCACAAUGGGCGCAAGCCUGAUGCAGCCAUGCCGCGUGUAUGAAGAAGGCCUUCGGGUUGUAAAGUACUUUCAGCGGGGAGGAAGGUGCUGAGGUUAAUAACCUCAGCAAUUGACGUUACCCGCAGAAGAAGCACCGGCUAACUCCGUGCCAGCAGCCGCGGUAAUACGGAGGGUGCAAGCGUUAAUCGGAAUUACUGGGCGUAAAGCGCACGCAGGCGGUCUGUCAAGUCGGAUGUGAAAUCCCCGGGCUCAACCUGGGAACUGCAUUCGAAACUGGCAGGCUAGAGUCUUGUAGAGGGGGGUAGAAUUCCAGGUGUAGCGGUGAAAUGCGUAGAGAUCUGGAGGAAUACCGGUGGCGAAGGCGGCCCCCUGGACAAAGACUGACGCUCAGGUGCGAAAGCGUGGGGAGCAAACAGGAUUAGAUACCCUGGUAGUCCACGCCGUAACGAUGUCGACUUGGAGGUUGUGCCCUUGAGGCGUGGCUUCCGGAGCUAACGCGUUAAGUCGACCGCCUGGGGAGUACGGCCGCAAGGUUAAAACUCAAAUGAAUUGACGGGGGCCCGCACAAGCGGUGGAGCAUGUGGUUUAAUUCGAUGCAACGCGAAGAACCUUACCUACUCUUGACAUCCAGAGAACUUAGCAGAGAUGCAUUGGUGCCUUCGGGAACUCUGAGACAGGUGCUGCAUGGCUGUCGUCAGCUCGUGUUGUGAAAUGUUGGGUUAAGUCCCGCAACGAGCGCAACCCUUAUCCUUUGUGCCAGCGGUCCGGGCCGGCAACCUCAAAGGAGAACUGCCAGUGAUAAACUGGAAGAAAGGUUGGA
This 1151-nucleotide ribosomal RNA is filed under the name Enterobacter asburiae. RNAcentral's name for it is "bacterial SSU rRNA". It matches the Rfam family "Bacterial small subunit ribosomal RNA", at positions 33 to 1179 of the family's 1533-position model. The record is from RNAcentral. Lineage: Bacteria; Pseudomonadati; Pseudomonadota; Gammaproteobacteria; Enterobacterales; Enterobacteriaceae.